This 2806-nucleotide long non-coding RNA is filed under the name Jatropha curcas. Its description in RNAcentral is "long non-coding RNA (JCUR_LNC001226)". The record is from RNAcentral. Lineage: Eukaryota; Viridiplantae; Streptophyta; Magnoliopsida; Malpighiales; Euphorbiaceae.
UUGUCCUUCUUCUAAUAUCAGCUUUAAAUUUUUCAUUGACCGCUAAGCGUAUGAACUACAUUGGCAGUUCAUUUAACUUUUAUCAACUCAAUAAUCUCGAGAAUGUUACUUGACUUUAACUUCAGUUUCAUUGUUUGAAGAAAGGAGCAUUUUAUUAUUACUCCCUCGAGUAAAAGGCGAAUAAAUUGUUAAUAGAUGGCAUGUUUUUCAUCUUGUCAGUUGGAUGCAAUAAACUAUUGUCCGGUCGUUAUUGGUUUCUUUGUUUGUUACUGAUGCGGAUAUUGCCAUUUUUAUGAUUUUUCUCAGUUGAAUUAUGAUCUGAAACUUCGAUGGUUUACCGGUACUGGUCUGCAUGAUUAACAUCUCAUUAUGUUGGUUACAGGAGCUAGUGGAAACAUAAGCAAUUGUCCCUAAGGGAAAAUCUGUUUCAAGGAAAUAAAUAAUUCCUUUCAAUUUCACAUUGAUGUGACCGCAGUAUGAUGGCACAUGGUUUUUAGCAUUUCGUUUGAUCUUCUCUGUAAAAGUGUCAAAGAAUAUAUCUUGAGAAUAAUAGCAUCUUUACCCCAGCAAUUGAUUUUCUUUUGUCAUAUAGACAUUAGAUUUAGAGUUGAGUAUCAGUAAAUCUACUUUUUACAUUAUAUUAGCAUUGCCACUUCUUUUGGGAUUUUGAAUUUUGUGAAGUAUGGCGUUUUAGCACCUCCAUGCCUGUCAAUUGCUUUUGUAUUAAACAUUUUGUACUUUUUACUCGAAAUCUUCUCCAGGAUUAGAAGAAAAGUGGAGCCAGAACCUCUCUAUGCAUCUUGAUCUCCUCUGGCAGAUUCAAAAGAUCAGUUUUUAUAAAAUGGAUGCUGUGGCAUGUGCACCUCAAGCAAGACUGUAUUUUUCUCAGUUGUAACCUUUGAAAUUGGUCAUAUGUUAAAUGUUCCUCCGUUUCAUGUAUAUCACAAAUAAUAAUAAAAAGCUGUUAUCAGCACUAUAAUGUUAUAAUUAUAACAGUUCGUCUUUGUUACCAGAAUUAGGUUUACUGAAGCUGCAUGUAGGUAAUGAAACUUCACUAAUUAAAUUUUGCUAGGUUAAUUUUCUCUAAAUUAUCAAGCAGUAAUUGACUCUUUAUUUGUCGCAAAUGCAAGUACCACUUUUCUUAUCAGUGCACAGAGUUAAUUUGACUGCUUGUUAAAGUUUAUUUGUUGCUGCUGCUGCUGUACAAUUUGUGGAACAGCAUUUAAAACUCACUUUUGCAAAGAGAAAAGUUGCUACCUUUUUAAAUUUUUUAUUGCACCAUGGACUUCUGGGUAGUCGAAAAGAACCUUUUCUUUCAAUGUAGUAUUGGUAGUGCAAAAAGAAUGAGUUUCUGAAAUACCAGAUGGAUCUGAUUUUUCCGCCAAUAAAAUUACAUGGUUUAGUAAGUCUCCCCUUUCUGUUAUAUUUUCAGAUGGUCUAGUGAGAAGGUUUAUUAGAGGUGAACAGGGGGUCUACUUUGAUCGGCCUUCCCCUUCUUAUGAGCUAAAGGAUUUUGUGCCUAUUGAAGUAAAAGCUGGUUCUUUGGUCAUUAUUCAUGGUGAUCUUAUUCAUCAAAGGUAACAGCUUGAAAAAUACAAUGAAGUGAGGACUGCUAUAUUUCUCAACAGCUGAUGGAUUCAAAAUUCACCUUUUUCUUUCUCAUCUUAUGCUUGGGCUGCAGUUUUGAGAAUCGGUCCCCAAAAUCAAGGCAUGCCUACAGCUUGCAUGUCGUGGAUACUGAUGGCUGCAAAUGGGCACAAGACAAUUGGUGAGUUGUCCUUCUUCUAAUAUCAGCUUUAAAUUUUUCAUUGACCGCUAAGCGUAUGAACUACAUUGGCAGUUCAUUUAACUUUUAUCAACUCAAUAAUCUCGAGAAUGUUACUUGACUUUAACUUCAGUUUCAUUGUUUGAAGAAAGGAGCAUUUUAUUAUUACUCCCUCGAGUAAAAGGCGAAUAAAUUGUUAAUAGAUGGCAUGUUUUUCAUCUUGUCAGUUGGAUGCAAUAAACUAUUGUCCGGUCGUUAUUGGUUUCUUUGUUUGUUACUGAUGCGGAUAUUGCCAUUUUUAUGAUUUUUCUCAGUUGAAUUAUGAUCUGAAACUUCGAUGGUUUACCGGUACUGGUCUGCAUGAUUAACAUCUCAUUAUGUUGGUUACAGGAGCUAGUGGAAACAUAAGCAAUUGUCCCUAAGGGAAAAUCUGUUUCAAGGAAAUAAAUAAUUCCUUUCAAUUUCACAUUGAUGUGACCGCAGUAUGAUGGCACAUGGUUUUUAGCAUUUCGUUUGAUCUUCUCUGUAAAAGUGUCAAAGAAUAUAUCUUGAGAAUAAUAGCAUCUUUACCCCAGCAAUUGAUUUUCUUUUGUCAUAUAGACAUUAGAUUUAGAGUUGAGUAUCAGUAAAUCUACUUUUUACAUUAUAUUAGCAUUGCCACUUCUUUUGGGAUUUUGAAUUUUGUGAAGUAUGGCGUUUUAGCACCUCCAUGCCUGUCAAUUGCUUUUGUAUUAAACAUUUUGUACUUUUUACUCGAAAUCUUCUCCAGGAUUAGAAGAAAAGUGGAGCCAGAACCUCUCUAUGCAUCUUGAUCUCCUCUGGCAGAUUCAAAAGAUCAGUUUUUAUAAAAUGGAUGCUGUGGCAUGUGCACCUCAAGCAAGACUGUAUUUUUCUCAGUUGUAACCUUUGAAAUUGGUCAUAUGUUAAAUGUUCCUCCGUUUCAUGUAUAUCACAAAUAAUAAUAAAAAGCUGUUAUCAGCACUAUAAUGUUAUAAUUAUAACAGUUCGUCUUUGUUACCAGAAUUAGGUUUACUGAAGCUG